Pseudonaja textilis is the source of this 106-nucleotide non-coding RNA. The record is from RefSeq and is a predicted model, not a curated record. Lineage: Eukaryota; Metazoa; Chordata; Lepidosauria; Squamata; Elapidae.
AAGAAAUGUCAGUUCCAAGUGGAGAGAAAGACACUGGAUACAUGGAAGCUGCUUGGAAGGUUGGUUAAAUGGUGAACAGGACCACAUGGCUUGAAGCUACAAAUAA